Molecule: non-coding RNA, 29 nt
Filed under: Rattus norvegicus (Norway rat)
Lineage: Eukaryota; Metazoa; Chordata; Mammalia; Rodentia; Muridae
Source: RNAcentral
UGACCUUUUUGGAUUUCUUUUUCUCCUGU